RNAcentral lists this ribosomal RNA (670 nucleotides) under Christensenellaceae bacterium. RNAcentral describes it as "partial 23S ribosomal RNA". It matches the Rfam family "Bacterial large subunit ribosomal RNA", at positions 1 to 678 of the family's 2925-position model. The record is from RNAcentral. Lineage: Bacteria; Bacillati; Bacillota; Clostridia; Christensenellales; Christensenellaceae.
GAUUAAGCGAAGAAGAGCGUAUGGUGGAUGCCUUGGCACUAGGCGCCGAUGAAGGACGUGACAAGCUGCGAAAAGCUGCGGGGAAGUGCAAAUAACUUUUGAUCCGCAGAUAUCCGAAUGAGGAAACUCGUGUUUGCGAUGAGCAGGCACAUUCAUACAAUGUAUGGAGGGGAACCUGGGGAACUGAAACAUCUUAGUACCCAGAGGAAAAGAAAGAAAACAAUCGAUUUCCUGAGUAGUGGUGAGCGAAAGGGAAAGAGCCCAAACCGUGAUAUGGAGACAUAAUGCGGGGUUAGGACCUUAAUAAAUUCAAGACGUGUAUAGUUGAGCGGUUCUGGAAAGGCCGACCGAAGAGAGUUAAAGUCUCGUAGGCGAAAUACGUGAAAUGAAUGAGGUAUCCAGAGUACCACAGGACACGAGAAAUCUGGUGGGAAUGCGGGAGGACCAUCUCCUAAGGCUAAAUACGACCUAGUGACCGAUAGAGUAUAGUACCGUGAGGGAAAGGUGAAAAGAACCCCGGGAGGGGAGUGAAAUAGAACCUGAAACCAUAUGCUUACAAGCAGACAUAGCACUACUGAAUAGUGUGGUGUCGUACUUUUUGUAGAACGGGCCGGCGAGUUACGUUGCGUAGCGAGGUUAAGGUAUAGAGUACUGGAGCCGAAGCGAAAGC